Molecule: ribosomal RNA, 238 nt
Filed under: uncultured bacterium
Lineage: Bacteria
Description: partial 16S ribosomal RNA
Rfam family: Bacterial small subunit ribosomal RNA
Source: RNAcentral
GAUCAUGGCUCAGGAUGAACGCUGGCGGCGUGCCUAACACAUGCAAGUCGAACGGAGCUGCUUUGAUGAAGUUUUCGGAUGGAUUUAAAACAGCUUAGUGGCGGACGGGUGAGUAACGCGUGGGUAACCUGCCUCACACUGGGGGAUAACAGUUAGAAAUAGCUGCUAAUACCGCAUAAGCGCACAGUUCCGCAUGGAACGGUGUGAAAAACUCCGGUGGUGUGAAAUGGACCCGCGU